Molecule: long non-coding RNA, 2489 nt
Organism: Eriocheir sinensis (Chinese mitten crab)
Lineage: Eukaryota; Metazoa; Arthropoda; Malacostraca; Decapoda; Varunidae
Exons: 6
Source: RefSeq, a predicted model, not a curated record
CAAACCCGUUGCUGACUCCACAGAGUGGAAGGAACUGCCUGCACCUCCUUUGUUUCUGCGGUAACGUGCGGGGAGGAAAUUUAAGCCAUUGCUGCCAUCCGGGGUUGUGAGGACUGACCUGAAGGACCUUCCCUCCAUGAUGGUCACGGUGGAAUCCAUCCUGAUAACACAGAUGCUCCUCUCCAUGCUGACUUGGGCAACGAAAGCCACUGCCUCGCCACGGGAGUGAGAGGAACUGACCUGAACAUCGCCUUCCUGCUUGCUGUAGGGAAAGCCUCUGCUGCUGGCCCUGCUGGAGAAAGUCUACCGUCUACGUCAUUGUGCACCAGUACCCAAGACGGCCAGGCAGCUGGGAACACAAGCCACCACAGGAAGUCUGCACCCACGCGGUCAUUCUCCAAAAUGGCGCAUCGAGUCGGUUGUUCCCUGAAUCCCCUGCAAAGCCUUCUCUCUGUGAUGGCCACGGUGGAAUCUAACAUAAUGGCACAGCCGCUGGCGAGUGUUGGAGUCUGACUACUCUCUGGCCCUGAGCUCGAGACUUCAGAUGAAGCCAGACAACCGAAUAUCUCUCCUGCUCCUCCCCGCGGUGCUUGCCUUGCCUUGCCUUGCCGAGUGUACAAGGUUGUGCACAACUAUAGCGACGGAAUGGAUCACAUUAUACACUUGGGUGCCGAUGAACACUGCUAUUACCCGACAUACUGGCCCGUCUCGUUGCUCGCCCCUGACCACUGCAACCAACACUGCCUUCGAUAGAGCCUUUGCUGCCACCAGGGGUGGGUGGGUGGAGCCUGGCCUGGACCUCCCCUUCAUGCUGUUCCUGCUGGAGAAAGUCUACCUCCCCUUAAUGAUCCUGCUGGAGAAAGUCUACCUUCCCUUCCUGGUGAAUUCAGUUUGAACUUCAACCCCUGCGUAUUCUAGGGCCCGGCGGUGACCGUCUUUAGAUUCAGUGACAUGCCCGAGUUCAGUUUGAACUUCAUCCCCUGCGUUUUCUAAGGCCCGGCGGUGACAGUCUUUAGAUUCAGUGACAUGUCUGAGUUCAGUUUGAACUUUAUCCCCUGCGUUUUCUAAGGCCCGGCGGUGACAGUCUUUAGAUUCAGUGACAUGUCUGAGUUCAGUUUGAACUUUAUCCCCUGCGUUUUCUAAGGCCCGGCGGUGACAGUCUUUAGAUUCAGUGACAUGUCUGAGUUCAGUUUGAACUUUAUCCCCUUCGUCUUCAAAGGCCCGGCGGUGACCAUCUUUAGAUUAAGAGACCUGCCUGAAUCUGUUUGAAAAUCAUCCCCUACGUUGGAUAAUAGCGGUGCUCUUCCGAAAACCCUUUGACCUGAAUAAGUAUGUCAUGAGCUAGCCAGUAGAAAUUCAGUGAAAACCCUUUGACCUCAAUAAGCAUGUCAUGAGCUAGCCAGUAGAAAUUCACUGAAAACCCUUCGACCUCAAUAAGUAUGUCAUGAGCUAGCCAGUAGAAAUUCAGUGAAAACCCUUCGACCUCAAUAAGCAUGUCAUGAGCUAGCCAGUAGAAAUUCACUGAAAACCCUUCGACCUCAAUAAGUAUGUCAUGAGCUAGCCAGUAGAAAUUCACUGAAAACCCUUCCACCUCAAUAAGCAUGUCAUGAGCUAGCCAGUAGAAAUUCACUGAAAACCCUUUGACGCGGCGGGCCAAUAGGUGGGAUAAUAGCAGUUCUCGUCCGCAAACCCUUUGACCUCAUUAAGUAUGUCUUAUAAGAGCCAGUAGAAAUCCAGGUAAGUCGAGGUGUCGCCGAUAUCCCCCAUACCUUGCCUGUCCAAGUACACUUGCGUGACGGUGGGUCCAAGAGUAUGAGGGAGGCCACACUCAUCGUGUACCUGUAUCUCUCCCACCGCCGAGAUCUGAAGACCCUGGUGACGAGGACAACCUUCAUCUCAACUAAGCGAGACAGCCAGUCAGGCGCAAGAUCUUGGUGUAUGCUGUGUGUCCAGGGUUAGCUGGAACUCGGAAGGACUCCGACCAGCCUACACCAUUUUGAAUCCGGAUAACGUGGGCGAUCACGUCAUCCGUAAGUGUGAUGAAGAGUAUAAGAAACUUCUUCCAAGUUGGUGUUCUCGCCAUUGAUGUUGGGAACGAACGACACAACACGCGAGAAAUCGAGUGGUAUCAAGACCGUGUCGGGGUUUAUGACUGCCUUUUUUAGUGUGCGUGUGUGUGCGUGUGUGUGUGUACGCAAGAUUUAUCCCCUAGUAUCAAAAGGGGAACGGGCCCUUGUCCGAAGACGGCCCGGGGAAACUAGCUCUGUACUUCUUCAAUGUGGGAUUUUCAGGCUUUUGGAGUUUCAACUUUGGCUGUUGUAAUUAUUUCAACUUGGGCUGUAGUAAUUAUUUUAACUUAGCCUGCAGUAUUAAAUUUUUAACUUCAGCUUUUGGAAUUAUUUAUAGUAGUACAUAAAUGCAAUCUAAAUACCGAAGUUAUUGUCCAUAAAUUAUCUAAAAAUGAUGCAAAAAAAAUACAUUCAACUAUU